Bos taurus (domestic cattle) is the source of this 543-nucleotide long non-coding RNA. The record is from Ensembl. Lineage: Eukaryota; Metazoa; Chordata; Mammalia; Artiodactyla; Bovidae.
AGAGUGAAGUCCUCAAGUGAACUGAAUCUCCUGGGACUUUUCUAUGGUGAUGAAGCGUAACAGCGACUCAGAGAGCCCAGCAGCCCUCUCUCCAGUACCUCCUCCUCAGCUGCCAAUCUUUAUUGACCUCCCCCUGCUCUCUGGGAGAAACCAGUCUCCAUCACACAGCUGCUGCUAAGGCCCUUCAUGACCUAGCUUCCAAACAGCUCUUGGGGACCUUUGCACAGGACCUCUGCCUGAAAUCACCUCUCUCUUACUCCCUAAGCAGGAUAAUCACUACUCGGACUUUGAGCUAUUCUCCUGUUUCCCUCGAAGCCACUGACACAUGCAUAACCCUGGUCUCUCUGUAACCUUACAGCCCCGGAAACCACACAUCAUGUGCUUUGGAUCUCACAUAUCACUCAUGCUCAGAGGCAGGGCAAGAAUGGAAAAAGCUUUGGUUUUAGGGUAAAACAAAUUCAGGUCAUAUUCCCAGCAGAGCCACUCUCUAGAUUUUGUGCAUGAAUUUGUGCAUGAAGUUAAAUCUCUCAGGGUCUCAAUUUC